CCUACGGGAGGCAGCAGUGAGGAAUAUUGGUCAAUGGACGCAAGUCUGAACCAGCCAUGCCGCGUGCAGGAAGACGGCUCUAUGAGUUGUAAACUGCUUUUGUACGAGGGUAAACGCAGAUACGCGUCUCUGUCUGAAAGUAUCGUACGACUAAGGAUCGGCUAACUCCGUGCCAGCAGCCGCGGUAUUACGGAGGAUUCCAGCGUUAUCCGGAUUUAUUGGGGUUAAAGGGUGCGUCGGCGGUCGGAUAAGUUAGAGGUGAAAUCCCGAGGCUCAAAUUCGGAAUUGCCUCUGAUACUGUUCGGCGAGAGAGUAGUUGCGGUAGGCGGAAUGUAUGGUGUAGCGGUGAAAUGCUUAGAGAUCAUACAGAACACCGAUUGCGAAGGCAGCUUACCAAGCUACUUCUGACGUUGAGGCACGAAAGCGUGGGGAGCAAACAGGAUUAGAUACCCUGGUAGUC
RNAcentral lists this ribosomal RNA (460 nucleotides) under uncultured bacterium. RNAcentral's name for it is "partial 16S ribosomal RNA". It matches the Rfam family "Bacterial small subunit ribosomal RNA", at positions 338 to 795 of the family's 1533-position model. The record is from RNAcentral.